UGUAAAGAAGCGAGCUGCUCUUUCAAGGUCCUUCAGCAAGGAGUCCUUCCUCACCGGCUCGUCUGUCCCCGAGACUUCCAAAUCUAGCUGCUCCACCCUGACCAGGGACAACAGCUUCUCAGUAGAUGACAGGCCAGUGGAUCCAGAUGAAACUCCGUCUGAAGCUCCAGCUGUUGAGCUUCCUCCUCCUCCUCCUCCCAUCACCAUCCCAGAGUGCCUCCCACCAAAACAACUGGCCACCAGAAAGAUACACAAGAAAAACUCCCCUCCAGAUACUUUGCGACAGAGACACAAGGGCAAAGCAGCGUCAUCAAAGAAAAGAGCAGACAAGGACAAAAAGAGCGCAAAUAUUUACCAACGGCUUUCUGUGAGCACGUGUGGAUCUGUGUGGAGACAUCGUCCUCUGGCUCACUGGUUGUAUCGCUGUCGCUGGGCGCUCCUCUGUGUGUACCUGUUAGUGUUUUUCUGUGUCAUAAUAUUGACUUUCUUCUUGUGGAAGCAUCAUGAUGAAGCAU
Non-coding RNA from Plectropomus leopardus (leopard coralgrouper), 515 nucleotides. The record is from RefSeq and is a predicted model, not a curated record. Lineage: Eukaryota; Metazoa; Chordata; Actinopteri; Perciformes; Serranidae.